This 342-nucleotide long non-coding RNA is filed under the name Glycine max (soybean). Its description in RNAcentral is "long non-coding RNA (GMAX_LNC004158)". The record is from RNAcentral. Lineage: Eukaryota; Viridiplantae; Streptophyta; Magnoliopsida; Fabales; Fabaceae.
GAAUUGAAGAAGAAUAUGUUGCUUUGAGAUUAUAAUAUUGUUAUUGAGAUUGAGUAUAAGUGUAAAGUUUAACAUGUGUUAAUUUGUGAGAUACGUGUAAACAUGUGAUGGUGGAUUGUCACACUAUGAGAAGUGAAAUUGUGAAUGAGUUCUAGUUGUGGAUAAGUGUCUAGUUAACACUUGAUGUGAAAUUACUUGUGUUGUAAGCUAUGAAUUGUACAAUAACCCGACCAGUGUUAUCUUGAGAAAAGCGUUGAUGCGCAGUGUUAAAGAGAAAAUGUAGGUUUCCUAUUUAGGAGCCAGUGUUAAAUCAUAGUGCGAUUGUGUUGAACGUGUUUAAAA